AUUGAACGCUGGCGGCAGGCUUAACACAUGCAAGUCGAGCGGUAACAGGCCUUCGGGUGCUGGCGAGCGGCGGACGGGUGAGUAAUGCCUAGGAAUCUGCCUGGUAGUGGGGGAUAACGUCCGGAAACGGGCGCUAAUACCGCAUACGUCCUACGGGAGAAAGUGGGGGAUCUUCGGACCUCACCCUAUUAGAUGAGCCUAGGUCGGAUUAGCUAGUUGGUGAGGUAAUGGCCCACCAAGGCGACGAUCCGUAACUGGUCUGAGAGGAUGAUCAGUCACACUGGAACUGAGACACGGUCCAGACUCCUACGGGAGGCAGCAGUGGGGAAUAUUGGACAAUGGGCGAAAGCCUGAUCCAGCCAUGCCGCGUGUGGGAAGAAGGUCUUCGGAUUGUAAAGCACUUUAAGUUGGGAGGAAGGGCAGUUACCUAAUACGUGAUUGUUUUGACGUUACCGACAGAAUAAGCACCGGCUAACUCUGUGCCAGCAGCCGCCGUAA
This 498-nucleotide ribosomal RNA is filed under the name uncultured bacterium. RNAcentral's name for it is "partial 16S ribosomal RNA". It matches the Rfam family "Bacterial small subunit ribosomal RNA", at positions 30 to 523 of the family's 1533-position model. The record is from RNAcentral.